UACAGAGGGUGCGAGCGUUAAUCGGAAUUACUGGGCGUAAAGGGUGCGUAGGUGGUUUGAUAAGUUAAGUGUGAAAGCCCCGGGCUUAACCUGGGAAUUGCGCUUAAUACUGUUGAGCUAGAGUACUGUAGAGGAAAGUGGAAUUUCCGGUGUAGCGGUGAAAUGCGUAGAUAUCGGAAGGAACAUCAGUGGCGAAGGCGGCUUACUGGACCGAUACUGACGCUGAGGCGCGAAAGCGUGGGGAGCAAACAGG
RNAcentral lists this ribosomal RNA (253 nucleotides) under uncultured bacterium. Its description in RNAcentral is "partial 16S ribosomal RNA". It matches the Rfam family "Bacterial small subunit ribosomal RNA", at positions 524 to 776 of the family's 1533-position model. The record is from RNAcentral.